This 1208-nucleotide long non-coding RNA is filed under the name Nicotiana benthamiana. Its description in RNAcentral is "long non-coding RNA (NBEN_LNC027686)". Lineage: Eukaryota; Viridiplantae; Streptophyta; Magnoliopsida; Solanales; Solanaceae. The record is from RNAcentral.
UCCCUAACGCAAACGUACACUGUUCAUCCUCCUCACCAAAUCGCACAAAUCCCUACCCAAAAUCGCCAAGAUUUUGAGUGCGUGAGUCUCAAAACCCUCCUCACGCGUCCCUCCUUCUCUUAACUCACCAUUUCUAACGAUUUUUGGAACUAAAAAUGCUCCCUCCCUUCACUCGCUCAGGUCAGAUAUUUAGCUGACAAUUGGAAGGUCCUAGAGACGAAUCAUUGGAUCAGGAUGAGUCGCUGUAUUGACUUUGUUCAAUCCAAGCCCCAUUUUCAUCAGGGGUACAUCUCUAUAAAGAACAUGAUAAGAUUUUAGAUACAAGGGUUUUUUUUAGAGAGAGGACCUGAAGGAAAAUAGAAGAUGAGAAAAAUUCUAUAGCUAGUGUUCUUCACAUUUAUUCUGUUUUUUUAUUCGCAAUGUUGAUUCUAAAAAACACAUAUACAAAAAAUGUUUGAAGUCCUGUGACUUUUUUGUUCGAUUCAUUGUUCACCCAUUUUGAAAUACAUAUAUUCCGUCUUCAAAGUUAUUGAAAUUCGUUGUUGAUCGAGGCAUCGACCUGUGGCUGCUGUUGCAUUGCAUCGAUUUCAAGUGCUGAGAUUCUCUUACAUUUUUUUCAGGUUUAUCUCUGUUCCUUCUUACAUUGUAGCGACCUGGAAGGAUUGUUAAAAUGGAUUCAGUCACGAUAAUAGACGAGGCUCGUAUGGUUACCCUCGACUUCAUUUAUUGUUAUGCUUUCAAUGUUCUCCAUGAAUUCAUGUGUAGUGAGUCAGCUUCUGAAUAUAUGAGGAGUAAAAUUUGUGUGGUUUCAAUAUCGUAUUCGUGUUUGUAUUGAUUUUGAAGAAUGUUUUAGUGUUAUCCUCAGCUCAUACUUGCUUCGAUGAAUCAGCUUCUGAAUAGAUGAGGAGUAAAAUUUGUGUGGUUUCAAUAUCGUAUUCGUGUUUGUAUUGAUUUCUAAGACUAUUUUAGUGUUAUUCUUCAGCUCAUACUUGCUUCGAAAUGGAUCCCCUGCUAAUGUUGCAAAUCUGGUGGCGUGGAGUGUUUUAUUAGUCUGGUUCUUUCAUAGUAAUUAAUUGAUUUUGUAUUCAAUUUUUACUCCAUGACAAUGAAACACUCUAUUGAAUGUGUGAAGAAAGUAUGUUAGAACAUUGUGGUAUUAAAAGUUUGUCCAGUGUAGUGAGAUAGGGGUCAGUUUAUUUUCUUUUCCU